GACGAACGCUGGCGGCGUGCUUAACACAUGCAAGUCGAACGAAGAGCGAUGGAAGCUUGCUUCUAUCAAUCUUAGUGGCGCACGUGUGAGUCACGCGUAAUCAACCUGCCCUUCAGAGGGGUACCACCGUUGGACCCGACUGCUAAUCCCGCAUCCUAUCCAAUCUCGGCAUCGGGCCUGGAUGAACGGUGGCCUCUAUUUAUAAGCUAUCACUGAAGCAGGGGAUUGCGUCUGAUUAGCUAGUUGGUGGGGUAACGGCCCACCAAUGGGAUGAUCAGUAGCCGGUCUGAGAGGAGGAACGGCCACAAUGGGACUGAGACACGGCCCAGACUCCUACGGGAGGGAGCAGUGGGGAAUCUUCCGGAAUGGAGGAAAGGCUGAAGGAGGAACGGCGCGUGAGGGAUGACGGGCUUCGGGUUGUAAAGCUCCGUUAAUCGGGAAGAAAGGUACUUGUGCGAAAAGUGCGAGGAUUUGACGGUACCGGAAUAGAAAGCCACGGCUAACUACGUG
Molecule: ribosomal RNA, 510 nt
Filed under: uncultured bacterium
Lineage: Bacteria
Description: partial 16S ribosomal RNA
Rfam family: Bacterial small subunit ribosomal RNA
Source: RNAcentral